GCCCGUUUUCUGGGAGAAGUUUCUGUUCAAAUUGAGCAGAUACUCACUCUAAUCUUCGAGAAUUUCAAGUAACUUGAUGAAUCAUCGAUGUCGGGUAUUAAAGAUGUAUUCGGACCUGCAACAGGAUUGGCUGCACCUGCACUUGAUCCAGCUUUGAAGCUCUACAAAUGGUUGCAUGAUAUUCUUUCCCCGAGAUUGCUACGAGAAAAAGGUCAAUCAGGCACUUGUUUGAAAUUGAUGAGUUCUUUUCGACUAAUAACGAAAACAUGUUAUUGGAUCCCGUGGCUGUCUCCACAGCAUAUAUGAAAGGAAAAACUAUUGCAUGGGUCUCAAGUUUUCUGCAGAUGUGAAGGUAGC
Long non-coding RNA from Salvia splendens (bonfire salvia), 357 nucleotides. RefSeq lists it as uncharacterized. The record is from RefSeq and is a predicted model, not a curated record. Lineage: Eukaryota; Viridiplantae; Streptophyta; Magnoliopsida; Lamiales; Lamiaceae. The transcript is spliced from 3 exons.